GAUGAAGAACGUAGCGAAAUGCGAUAAGUAACGCGAAUUGCAGAAUUCCAGUGAGUCAUCGAAUCUUUGAACGCACAUUGCGCCCUUUGGUAUUCCGAAGGGCAUGCCUGUUCGAGCGUCAUUAUCACCCCUCAAGCCCUCGGCUUGGUGUUGGACGGUUUGGUGGAGGCCCCCUCGGGGGCUCCUGCCCCUCCCAAAGACAAUGACGGCGGCCUCGUUGGACCCCCGGUACACUGAGUUCUUCACGGGACACGUAUCGGACACAUGGGUUUACGGGACACGGUCUGCCUCCCCUCAGGGAGAAUCUUUCUAAGGUUGACCUCGGAUCAGGUAGGGAUACCCGCUGAACUUAAGCAUAUCAAUAAGCGGAGGA
Molecule: unclassified non-coding RNA, 373 nt
Filed under: soil metagenome
Description: partial contains 5.8S ribosomal RNA, internal transcribed spacer 2, and large subunit ribosomal RNA
Rfam family: 5.8S ribosomal RNA (bases 1-121)
Source: RNAcentral